CCGCCGCCGCCGCCGCCGCCGCCGCCGCCGCCGCCGCGUGUUUGGCUUGCGGUUUCUAAACCUAGAAAGAUCCCUGACUGGAGUAGCCCUUGGGUUGUGCUGCUGCCCCUCCUCCUCACAGGCAGCUGCACGUGGGCUGCUCGGACACAAACUGCAGCUUAGGUACACGUUCCUUGGAUUCCCCUGUAGCCUUUUGGAAAGGGAAGGAGCACUUACUAAAUUCACUGGGAAGUGACAGAGAGCCUUUCCUUGGCCAGGUUGGACAGGUGCUUCUGCCCUCUUCUCAACUAGUUCUCAACCUUGGCCUCUAAAGACUUAGGCACUAAGAUGGUUUUGAACAUCAAGUUGGCAUCGUAGGAUGACUCCAGCUCCACUUAGAAUGCCUGCCUGACAAAGCUCAAGGUGCCAAGAGAAUUUAGCAUUUGUUCAGCCAACGCCAGAAGAGAGUCUCUGCUCCUCAAUGUCUCUAGGAGAGGAGGAGCCUAACUUCCAUAAACUGCUUAGUGUCCCCAGGUGGAGUGGGGAACACAGACCUGGUUCCUGUCUUCAAGCAACUCAGGAUCUAAUCUGCAGACAAGACAGGGAUUCAUCCAAAAGCAACGCACGACGAUGUUGUGGAGGCCGGUGGGAGUGAGAAGACCGAGGAGGAGGCCCCAGUACCUGAGGUGGAGG
This is a long non-coding RNA of Phacochoerus africanus (Common warthog), 672 nucleotides long. RefSeq lists it as uncharacterized. The transcript is spliced from 3 exons. The record is from RefSeq and is a predicted model, not a curated record. Lineage: Eukaryota; Metazoa; Chordata; Mammalia; Artiodactyla; Suidae.